This 1911-nucleotide long non-coding RNA is filed under the name Equus caballus (horse). RNAcentral describes it as "lncRNA (ENSECAG00000044586.1)". Lineage: Eukaryota; Metazoa; Chordata; Mammalia; Perissodactyla; Equidae. The record is from RNAcentral.
UCAUCAUCGUCUUCUUCAUCUCCCUCCAAGGAUUCUUGGGAGGCUUCUUCAAGGCACUGGUGCACACAGUCUGGCACAGGCAUUGUCAGACCAUUCACUCAGGGAGAAGCCAGCUGCCGUGUUGUAAGCAGUCCCGUGGACAGAUUUUGGGGCCCCUCUCCCUGGUCUCACAGGCGAAUCUAGCAAGCCACCUGCAUAGGUCUUAAGUCAUUACAAUAAAAUCCACGUUGUCCUGUGCAGCAGCCACACAGCCCAUCUUCAGCUUGUGUCAAAAUGACCUUGCAACCCCCCACCUCAUGACUGAAGACGCCAGCUGGACAGAUCCACAACAGGAACAGACAAGGGGGUACCUCGCUCUCACAUUACCCAGCUGUGUUUCUUAGAGACUGGGGGAAUAAUUAACAACCCUGGUCCUUGCCUCCCUCCACACAUAGAUAACAUCAGCAUCACUGAACUCGUUUCAUGUGUAACCAGGGAAAUCUUGUUUAUGUUACCUUCAACGUGUAAUGUAGAGAAAAGCCCAGAUGUACUCAAUCUGGGUUUUUUUGAAAUCCAGUUGUGGGUUUUUUUUUUCCUUUUCCUCUUCCCUGCACAUGCACUGUUUUGUGAAAGAGAUAUAAGCAGCACUUAAACUCACGUACUUCGGAGCAGUUCCAUCAGAGCGCUCUGCUGAACUGUUUUUCCCGGGGUUGGAACUCCGCACGCUGAUUACUGAAUAAACUCCUUCACUAAUAUCACCCAGACUCUUUGUUUCAGCCAACAGUCCUAGGGAGAUUUCCACGUGCUGAGGAACUGAGGCAUCCUGCUAACAACCACGUGGAGCCUUCAGAUGACGGCAGCCUUGGCCAACAUUUGAGCUGCAAGCCCCUGAGAGACCCUGAGCCAGAACCACAGCUAAGCUGCUCCUGGAUUCCUGCUCCACGGAAACUGAGCUGGAAAUAUUUGUGGUUUUAAACUGCUAAAUUUGGACUAUUUUGUUUUGCAGCAAUAUCUUGCAGCUAUCUUGUUAAAUCUAUCACUAAGUAUUUGAUUUUUUUUUUGGCUUAAACAACACAAAUUUAUUUUCUCAUCGUUCUGGAGGAUAGAAGUCCAAGAUCAAGGCACCCCUAGGGUUGGUUUCUGGUGAGGGCUCUCUUCCUGGCUCAUAGAUGGCCGCCUUCUCGCUGUGUCCUCAUGCGGCUUCCCCUCUGUGAGCACUGAGAAAGAGGACUCUCUUGUGUCUCUUGUCUCAUAAGGACACCAGUCCUAAGGAAUAAGACCCCACCCCUAUGACCUCACUUAACCUUUAUUCUCUCCCUUAUAGGCCCUACCUCCAAAUACAGUCACUUGGGGUUGGGGCUUCAACACAUGAAUGGGGAGGGGGCUGCUCACAAUUCAGUCCAUAACAGGUGGUACUCUGAGGACUAUUACUUUGUUAAAAUAUCCUAAACUACUUCCAGAGUGACAGUCUGUCAUCACCUACAAGUGAUCUCGAGGCUCAGGAAAGAGCCCCGAUCAGGCUCUUAAUUUUUCCCAGUUGGUUAUCGACUUUACUACAUGCUUUUCUGGCUUAUAAUAUUUCACAGUCUUCUACCAACUCUCUAAUACGAAGCACUUGUCCUGUGGACUCUCUUCAAAGAACUGCCGUCUGGUCAGCUUGAACUAUCAAAAGGCUUGCUGAGAGGGCGAAAUUAAUAAAACAUGACUUGACCCAUUUAGUCCUAUAAAUUCCCUAAAUUCUAUCCUUAGAUUAAAAUGGAUCAUUGGAAAGCUUCAUACUGGGACUAUAUUCGGAGUCUUUAAAAUCUCUAGGUCUGAGCUGCAUUUUAAUGUUAUGUUCUUGAAGGAACUUGUGAGAAAUGGCCAUGUAAAACUCAUUACUUUGACUGUUUUCAGAAGGUUGUUAAAUAAAUUGUUCACUAGAUUGUCUAA